UACAGAGGGUGCAAGCGUUGUUCGGAAUUAUUGGGCGUAAAGCGCGUGUAGGCGGCUUUGCAAGUCGGGUGUGAAAGCCCUCAGCUUAACUGAGGAAGUGCGCCCGAAACUGCUUGGCUUGAGUACCGGAGAGGAUGGCGGAAUUCCCAAGUAGAGGUGAAAUUCGUAGAUAUGGGGGAGGAACACCGGUGGCGAAGGCGGCCAUCUGGACGGAUACUGACGCUGAGACGCGAAAGCGUGGGUAGCAAACAGG
Molecule: ribosomal RNA, 253 nt
Filed under: uncultured bacterium
Lineage: Bacteria
Description: partial 16S ribosomal RNA
Rfam family: Bacterial small subunit ribosomal RNA
Source: RNAcentral